Molecule: long non-coding RNA, 329 nt
Filed under: Vigna radiata
Lineage: Eukaryota; Viridiplantae; Streptophyta; Magnoliopsida; Fabales; Fabaceae
Description: long non-coding RNA (VRAD_LNC006464)
Source: RNAcentral
GAAGUCAUGAACUGAUAGGGAAUUCCUUGAUUAAGCAAUACUACCUAGAGAUAGGGGUAGGACAAUCAAUUGUAUUUUGCUUCUGUACGUGAAUGCAUUAUUAAUUAAUCAGGGAGACUAGAGAUAGUAAACUAGUAAUUAAUAGUAGGCUCUUUUCGCCAAGGAAUUGGGUUUAGGGUAGGCCAAGAAAGUUUGCAUGACAAUUAGAUAAUAAAGCGAAUUAAAUAAGAAAAGUAGAUAUAAGAGGGUGGAUAAGAUGAAAUUGUAAACCCCAACAACCCCAUUCAUCCAUAUCUUUACUUUGCCAAUUGAUUCACUUGAAUUUGCAU